ACCCCUGUGAGAAUGCCCUACAGUUCCCUGCUCGGGAACAAGGAGCUGGUAUCAGGCACAAUCUCCCCCAUAAGCCCAUGACACCUUGCUUAGCCACACCCUCAAGGGAACUCAGCAGUGAUAGACAUUAAGCCAUAAGUGAAAACUUGACUUAGUUAAAGCUAAGAGGGUCGGUAAAACUCGUGCCAGCCACCGCGGUUAUACGAGAGACCCAAGUUGUUAGACAUCGGCGUAAAGAGUGGUUAAGAUUUAUAUAGGACUAAAGCCGAACGCCCUCAAAGCCGUUAUACGCAUCCGAAGGUAAGAAGCCCAACAACGAAAGUGGCUUUAUGUUAUCCGAAUCCACGAAAGCUAUGACACAAACUGGGAUUAGAUACCCCACUAUGCCUAGCCGUAAACAUUGAUAGUAAACUACGCCCACUAUCCGCCCGGGAACUACGAGCACCAGCUUGAAACCCAAAGGACUUGGCGGUGCUUUAGAUCCACCUAGAGGAGCCUGUUCUAGAACCGAUUACCCCCGUUCAACCUCACCUUUCCUUGUUUUCCCCGCCUAUAUACCACCGUCGUCAGCUUACCCUGUGAAGGACUCAUAGUAAGCAAGAUUGGCAUAGCCCAAAACGUCAGGUCGAGGUGUAGCGUAUGGAAAGGGAAGAAAUGGGCUACAUUCACUAACAUAGUGAAACACGAACGAUACACUGAAAUACGUAUCUGAAGGAGGAUUUAGCAGUAAGCAGAAAAUAGAGCGUUCCGCUGAAACUGGCCCUGAAGCGCGCACACACCGCCCGUCACUCUCCCCAAGCUUACUAACCUUAAGUACCUAAGACCCUAAAACUGCAAAGGGGAG
This 844-nucleotide non-coding RNA is filed under the name Lutjanus fulviflamma (dory snapper). RNAcentral's name for it is "partial 12S rRNA". It matches the Rfam family "Bacterial small subunit ribosomal RNA", at positions 307 to 1453 of the family's 1533-position model. The record is from RNAcentral. Lineage: Eukaryota; Metazoa; Chordata; Actinopteri; Lutjaniformes; Lutjanidae.